RNAcentral lists this transfer RNA (67 nucleotides) under Schistocephalus solidus. It matches the Rfam family "tRNA". From Rfam's summary of the family: Transfer RNA (tRNA) molecules are approximately 80 nucleotides in length. Their secondary structure includes four short double-helical elements and three loops (D, anti-codon, and T loops). Further hydrogen bonds mediate the characteristic L-shaped molecular structure. tRNAs have two regions of fundamental functional importance: the anti-codon, which is responsible for specific mRNA codon recognition, and the 3' end, to which the tRNAs corresponding amino acid is attached (by aminoacyl-tRNA synthetases). tRNAs cope with the degeneracy of the genetic code in two manners: having more than one tRNA (with a specific anti-codon) for a particular amino acid; and 'wobble' base-pairing, i.e. permitting non-standard base-pairing at the 3rd anti-codon position. Lineage: Eukaryota; Metazoa; Platyhelminthes; Cestoda; Diphyllobothriidea; Diphyllobothriidae. The record is from Rfam by way of RNAcentral.
GGCCUCGUAGCUCAGUUGGCUAGAGCGUUGGCCAUUGCUAACGUGGGUCCGAAUCCCUCCGAAGCUG